This 345-nucleotide ribosomal RNA is filed under the name uncultured bacterium. RNAcentral's name for it is "bacterial SSU rRNA". It matches the Rfam family "Bacterial small subunit ribosomal RNA", at positions 8 to 334 of the family's 1533-position model. The record is from RNAcentral.
AGGGUUUGAUUCUGGCUCAGGACGAACGCUGGCGGCGUGCUUAACACAUGCAAGUCGAACGAAGCUUGAUUUAAGAUUUCUUCGGAAUGAUUAAUGAUAUGACUGAGUGGCGGACGGGUGAGUAACGCGUGAGUAACCUGCCCUUCAGAGGGGGAUAGCGUUUGGAAACGAACGGUAAUACCGCAUAACGUAUUUUGACCGCAUGAUCGAAAUACCAAAGCGUUAGCGCUGAAGGAUGGACUCGCGUCUGAUUAGAUAGUUGGUGGGGUAACGGCCUACCAAGUCGACGAUCAGUAGCCGGACUGAGAGGUUGAUCGGCCACAUUGGGACUGAGACACGGCCCAG